Molecule: ribosomal RNA, 456 nt
Filed under: uncultured Acholeplasma sp.
Lineage: Bacteria; Bacillati; Mycoplasmatota; Mollicutes; Acholeplasmatales; Acholeplasmataceae
Description: bacterial SSU rRNA
Rfam family: Bacterial small subunit ribosomal RNA
Source: RNAcentral
GCACAAGCGGUGGAUCAUGUUGUUUAAUUCGAUGAUACGCGAAGAACCUUACCAGGUCUUGACAUCCCCCGCGAUGCUUUAGAGAUAAAGCGGAGGUAUUCGGGGAGACAGGUGGUGCAUGGUUGUCGUCAGCUCGUGUCGUGAGAUGUUGGGUUAAGUCCCCGCAACGAGCGCAACCCCUAUUGCUAGUUACCAUCAUUAAGUUGGGGACUCUAGCGAGACUGCCAGUGAUAAACUGGAGGAAGGUGGGGAUGACGUCAAAUCAUCAUGCCCCUUAUGACCUGGGCUACAAACGUGAUACAAUGGCUGGAACAAAGGGAUGCGAAGCAGUGAUGUGGAGCGAAACCCAUAAAAACAGUCUCAGUUCGGAUUGAAGUCUGCAACUCGACUUCAUGAAGUCGGAAUCGCUAGUAAUCGCGCAUCAGCCAUGGCGCGGUGAAUACGUUCCCGGGCCUU